RNAcentral lists this ribosomal RNA (417 nucleotides) under Klebsiella pneumoniae. RNAcentral describes it as "partial 23S ribosomal RNA". It matches the Rfam family "Bacterial large subunit ribosomal RNA", at positions 147 to 569 of the family's 2925-position model. Lineage: Bacteria; Pseudomonadati; Pseudomonadota; Gammaproteobacteria; Enterobacterales; Enterobacteriaceae. The record is from RNAcentral.
GUUACCCACAUCUGUUAAGGAUGUGAGGAGGAAGACGCAGUGAACUGAAACAUCUAAGUAGCUGCAGGAAGAGAAAGCAAAAGCGAUUGCCUUAGUAGCGGCGAGCGAAACGGCAGGAGGGCAAACCGAAGAGUUUACUCUUCGGGGUUGUAGGACUGCAAUGUGGACUCAAAGAUUAUAGAAGAAUGAUUUGGGAAGAUCAGCCAAAGAGAGUAAUAGCCUCGUAUUUAAAAUAGUCUUUGUACUUAGCAGUAUCCUGAGUACGGCGGGACACGUGAAAUCCCGUCGGAAUCUGGGAGGACCAUCUCCCAACCCUAAAUACUCCCUAGUGACCGAUAGUGAACCAGUACCGUGAGGGAAAGGUGAAAAGCACCCCGGGAGGGGAGUGAAAUAGAACCUGAAACCGUGUGCCUACAA